GUCAGCGUGGGAGAAUGGAGAAUCCCGUUGCCUUCGGGUGGCGCUCGUUACGCGGGGUUGUAGGUUCGAAUCCUACCUCUGGCU
RNAcentral lists this transfer RNA (84 nucleotides) under Sphingomonas bisphenolicum. Its description in RNAcentral is "tRNA-Pro". It matches the Rfam family "tRNA". From Rfam's summary of the family: Transfer RNA (tRNA) molecules are approximately 80 nucleotides in length. Their secondary structure includes four short double-helical elements and three loops (D, anti-codon, and T loops). Lineage: Bacteria; Pseudomonadati; Pseudomonadota; Alphaproteobacteria; Sphingomonadales; Sphingomonadaceae. RNAcentral also lists the same sequence under 1 other name. The record is from RNAcentral.